Non-coding RNA from Salvia hispanica, 1968 nucleotides. Lineage: Eukaryota; Viridiplantae; Streptophyta; Magnoliopsida; Lamiales; Lamiaceae. The record is from RefSeq and is a predicted model, not a curated record.
UUGAAAAUCAUGAGAUAAAAAUAAAUUAUUACUGCUAACAAAAUGAGUAACGAAUAAAACUUUUCGAGGUAGAAAAAGCAGCGGGAAAAUUGAAACAAAAUCGAGAAAAGCAUAAACCAUAGCUCAAAACGCAAGAGCUAAUUGAAGAAAUGUCAAAUUCAGCUUCUGAAGAGCACGAUCACGGUGAUGGAGUGGAAGAGUUAGGGGAGUUACGUGAGCCGCCUUAUCAGAACCCUUCCGCACCUCCUCACGAGUCAUUCGAUGUAUCAACAACGGUUGAUCCAAGUUACGUGAUAUCUUUGAUAAGGAGACUUCUGCCAUCGGAUGUGAAUGGUUUGGUUCGUGAAGAACCAGCAGCUGAAGGCGUAAUAGAGGAUGCCACAAACUUGCCUGAAAAUGGCGGAGAAGCUGAAGCAAUGGAAUCUUCUGAGAACCAUGAUAAAUUAGAGGGACGAGAACUGUCGAAUGGUUAUAAAGAUGAAGGAGGAACUGUUGGAGAACGAACUUGGGAAGAAUGUGGAUGUAUUUUAUGGGAUCUUGCCGCAAGUGAAGAUCAUGCUCAAUUUAUGGUUCAAAAUCUCAUCCUUGAAGUGCUUUUGGCUAGUCUUGCAGUUUCUCCAUCCUCGCGUAUUACUGAGAUUAGUCUUGGAAUCAUCGGAAACCUUGCUUGCCAUGAAACUGCCAGAAAAUGUAUAGCCUCUGUUAAUGGAAUGGUUGGAGCUAUAGUUGAGCAAUUACUUAUUGAUGAUGUACCUUGCCUCUGUGAGGCCUGCAGGGUGUUAAGCUUGUGCCUGCAAGGAGGUGAAGGUAUUAUUUGGGCAGAAGCAUUGCAGCCGGAGCAUAUCCUCUCUCGUAUCCUCUGGAUUGCUGAAAAUGCCCUGAAUCCACAGCUUAUUGAAAGGAGUGUAGGUUUAUUGAUGGCUAUUUUGGAGAGUCAACAGGAAGUAGCAACUAUUCUUGUUCCACCUUUGUUGAAAUUGGGCCUUUCAAGUCUUCUGAUUAAACUCUUGGCUUUCGAAAUGACCAAAUUAAAGGAAGAUAGGACGCCUGAGAGGUAUAGUGUGCUGGAUCUGAUUCUACGGACAAUUGAAGAGCUCUCGACUAUGGAUAACUGUUCAGAAGAAAUAUGUGAAAAUAAAGAGCUGUUACAAUUAGCACGAGAGCUGAUCGAUCUUCCUGAUAAAUUCGAGGUUGCCAGUUCUUGUGUGACUGCUGCAGUGUUGAUAGCGAAUAUCCUUACUGAUGCAACCCACUUCACUUCUGACUUAUCACAAGAUUUGAACUUCUUGAAGGGUCUAUUUGAUGUGUUCCCCUUUGCUUCUGAGGACACAGAAGCUCAGACUGCGAUUUGGAGCAUUAUUUCGAGAAUAUUGACAGUACUUCAAGAAAGGGAGAUGACUCCAGCAAUAUUGAACUUUCUCGUUUCAAUUCUUGCAAGCAAAUUGGAUCUGAUUGAAGAUGAACUCCUUGCCCACCCAUCCGAUCAUGAAGAACAAAGAUUCCUUUGUACAUCAUUCCCUAUCACUUUGUUCCCUUUACUUACUUGGCAGAUGAAAAGAACCUUCGAUAUUUUGACGUAUUGGAAAUCAUCCGAUGAUAGCAUAAAGAACACAUCUUUUGCUGAAGGCUGCUGCAUUAAGGAAGAAGAUGUUGAUAAACUGUUGGAUCUCUGUCGCAAAGCUUCCAGGUGAGAGAAACUGCUCUGUUUCCUAUCACUCACCUGUGGGGCAUCUGACCUCCAUGUUUAGAUAGGUUUACUACCAGCCUAUAGUUGGCAAUCUGGAUUCUAGAAUGAGGAUCUGGACGAACUUGACCUAGAUGUGGCUCUCUCAUCAAGAAAGAACUCAAAAUGUAGUGCUGUGAAAACUCAAUUCUAGAGUUGAUCUUGGAUUUCAAAGUUGGCUCCAAGUGUGAUUCUUUUCAGCAUAUGUUAUAUCAAAUUUUAAAUUUGGUUUUGUUUCUUUCAAA